ACUGAGUACCAUGGGCCAGCAUGGCAUUCUGCUGGCAUGGAUGGAGAUGCAGGCUCCUGGCGGUAACCCUGGGAGGUAGGACCCAGCAUGGGACCCAGGACGAAAGGGAGACUCUCCGGGAGACGAAGUGCCCAAGGCCGCCCAGACAGCCAAUGGCAGAUCUCCAGGCUACAAGUUGAGGGUUAGCGCAUCCUCCACCACCCCAAGGGCCAAGCAAAUGGCAUGCAAAUGAGAGCCUGCUGAAGGGAAGGGCCUGCCAGCUGCUCCACAGAUUGCUCCGGCUCCCGUGAUGGGGAUGUUGAAGGUCGUGGGAUUGGCAGCCCAUCAGUCAACAAGCCUGGAACUGAAGGC
RNAcentral lists this long non-coding RNA (351 nucleotides) under Phascolarctos cinereus (koala). RNAcentral's name for it is "lncRNA (ENSPCIG00000024522.2)". The record is from RNAcentral. Lineage: Eukaryota; Metazoa; Chordata; Mammalia; Diprotodontia; Phascolarctidae.